GGCGCCCCCGAGACGGGGCGAACCACGGUGAAAUGACGGAUCGUCGGCCCCCGCGCCGGCGACUCGCCGAAUGAGUUUCUGACCUAUCAACUCGAGACGGCGGGGUAGAGGCCCGCCGCGGUAACGACGGGUAACGGGGAAUCAGGGUUCGAUUCCGGAGAGGGAGCCCGAGAAACGGCUACCACUUCCAAGGAAGGCAGCAGGCGCGCAACUUACCCUAAUCUCGAUUCGAGGAGGUAGUGACAAGAAAUACCGAUGCGGGACCCUACGGGUGCCGCGUUCGGAAUGAGUACGAUUCGAACCACCUAACGAGGAACGAUCGGAGGGCAAGUCUGGUGCCAGCAGCCGCGGUAAUUCCAGCUCCAAUAGCGUACGUUAAAGCUGCUGCUCAGAGAAAUGAUCAGAGUGACCGCGUACAGGCUCAUGGGCACGAGGAAGAGGAGGAGCCGCAGGUCGGAGACGGAGAACCGGGACACGCUGUAAGCGAUCGCCGUGAACGACAGUGCCUGAAGCCACAAGAGCCACCGGCGC
Molecule: ribosomal RNA, 531 nt
Filed under: uncultured eukaryote
Lineage: Eukaryota
Description: bacterial SSU rRNA
Rfam family: Eukaryotic small subunit ribosomal RNA (bases 1-377)
Source: RNAcentral